Molecule: ribosomal RNA, 497 nt
Filed under: uncultured bacterium
Lineage: Bacteria
Description: partial 16S ribosomal RNA
Rfam family: Bacterial small subunit ribosomal RNA
Source: RNAcentral
GAUGAACGCUGGCGGCGUGCCUAAUACAUGCAAGUCGAGCGAACAGACGAGGAGCUUGCUCCUCUGACGUUAGCGGCGGACGGGUGAGUAACACGUGGAUAACCUACCUAUAAGACUGGGAUAACUUCGGGAAACCGGAGCUAAUACCGGAUAAUAUAUUGAACCGCAUGGUUCAAUAGUGAAAGACGGUUUUGCUGUCACUUAUAGAUGGAUCCGCGCCGCAUUAGCUAGUUGGUAAGGUAACGGCUUACCAAGGCAACGAUGCGUAGCCGACCUGAGAGGGUGAUCGGCCACACUGGAACUGAGACGCGGUCCAGGCUCCUACGGGAGGCAGCAGUAGGGAAUCUUCCGCAAUGGGCGAAAGCCUGACGGAGCAACGCCGCGUGAGUGAUGAAGGUCUUCGGAUCGUAAAACUCUGUUAUUAGGGAAGAACAAAUGUGUAAGUAACUAUGCACGUCUUGACGGUACCUAAUCAGAAAGCCACGGCUAACUACGUG